UGCGCAGGCGGGUUUGUAAGUCAGUGGUGAAAUCCUGCCGCUUAACGGUAGAAUUGCCAUUGAUACUGCGAAUCUUGAGUAUGGUUGAGGUAGGCGGAAUGUGUAGUGUAGCGGUGAAAUGCAUAGAUAUUACACAGAACUCCGAUUGCGAAGGCAGCUUACUAAGCCAUAACUGACGCUGAGGCACGAAAGCGUGGGGAGCGAACAGGAUUAGAUACCCUGGGUAGUCC
Molecule: ribosomal RNA, 230 nt
Filed under: uncultured bacterium
Lineage: Bacteria
Description: partial 16S ribosomal RNA
Rfam family: Bacterial small subunit ribosomal RNA
Source: RNAcentral